RNAcentral lists this ribosomal RNA (269 nucleotides) under uncultured bacterium. Its description in RNAcentral is "partial 16S ribosomal RNA". It matches the Rfam family "Bacterial small subunit ribosomal RNA", at positions 793 to 1055 of the family's 1533-position model. The record is from RNAcentral.
GUCCUAGCCCUAAACGAUGGAUACUUGCUGUGACUGGGGAUUGAAUCCAGUCGUGGCGAAGCUAAACGCAUUAAGUAUACCGCCUGGGGAGUACGGUCGCAAAGGCUGAAACUCAAAGGAAUUGACGGGGGCCCCGCACAAGCGGUGGAGUAUGUGGUUUAAUUCGACGCAACGCGAAGAACCUUACCUGGGCUCGAACGGCUGGUGACAGGGGUGGAAACAUCCUUUUCCCGCAAGGGACACCAGUCGAGGUGCUGCAUGGCUGUCGU